AGCUGAGAUCUUGCCAUUGCGCUCCAGCCUGGGUGACAAAGUCCAAGUUGUGGAUAUGUCAUUGGUUUGUUACCCUCUUUAUUCACUGGUCUUCUCUGUCUCAUACCACAAUGGCAAACCCAGAGAGAUGGACCGACCUAGUUGGCCUGGUGAUCAGGUUGCUACUAAUGAAGGGAUGUGUCAUUCUGCAGAGGCUGGAGAGACUUCAGGCAAACUCAACAGUCCCAAACCCUUAGAAACUUACUCUUGGAACAAACAUAUGUAGCUGAGUUCCUCUGUGUCAGGAGCUGCUAUAUAAAUGAGAGUUUUCUGAAUUACCUUCUCUGUAGAACACUAUUUAUUAAAAGAUCUGCCUGCCAAACCUGCCUUCCUCGAAAUAUCCCUUCAUGUGAAAGCAUUAUGAGAAAGGGUAAAUCUAAUUGUAUACUAUAAUAGUGGCAGUAGGUGAGUUUACGUCACACACGCUAGGAAACUGCUUUAAUCUUUCGACAUCUCUCUCUUUCCAAAUCAUGCACGCAUUCAUUCCAUCAUCAAACAUUUAUUGAAAAUCUACACACCAGACACUGUUCUAGGCCCUGGGGAUAAGAAGUAAUGAAAACAACUGUCCCCUAGGAGUCUGCACUCUAGUUGAGGGAGGUGCUGGCUAGCCUCUGUUUACCCUCCAGGUCCAUCUUUGCCCUUUUCUGUGCCCCAGGAGGCUAGCCCCGCACUCUACUGUGCCUUGUCCUCUGGGAGGGUGAUGGAAGGUAGGGAGAGUGGGAGAUCCCAGCGGGAGGUUGUAGUAUGGAAGCACUGGAGAGCUAGGCAUUUUCUCCCCGCCAACUCCUUCCAGGCUGCAGUUUUGGCAGUGGUUGUGUUCCUGCCCUCUAGCCACAGAUCCUGGGGGAUCCCCCUCUCCCAUAGCCACAGAUCUUGGCAGGUUCCUCUGACACCUCUCUUACCUCCCCACCCUUCUUGACCCUUUUUACUUAAUGAGAGGCAACCCAUGGCUGCUCAAUGCUGUCGGUUCUAUGUUGACUUAACUGUUCUUACCUCUUCUGUUACCCUUUGAGAAUGUCACUUCUUUUCUGCCAGGACCUUGACUGAUACAGAAAUACAGAAAAUAAACAAACAAAUGAGUUAUA
RNAcentral lists this long non-coding RNA (1124 nucleotides) under Homo sapiens (human). RNAcentral describes it as "HSALNT0334503". The record is from RNAcentral. Lineage: Eukaryota; Metazoa; Chordata; Mammalia; Primates; Hominidae.